GAUGAAGAACGCAGCGAAAUGCGAUAAGUAGUGUGAAUUGCAGAAUUCAGUGAAUCAUCGAAUCUUUGAACGCACAUUGCGCCCCUUGGUAUCCCGAGGGGCAUGCCUGUUCGAGCGUCAUUUCACCACUCAAGCCUGGCUUGGUGUUGGGCGACGUCCUCUUUGGGGACGCGCCUCGAAACGCUCGGCGGCGUGGCACCGGCUUUAAGCGUAGCAGAAUCUUUCGCUUUGGAAGUCGGGGCCCCGUCUGCCGGAAGACCUGCUCGCAAGGUUGACCUCGGAUCAGGCAGGGAUACCCGCUGAACUUAAGCAUAUCAAUAAGCGGAG
Molecule: unclassified non-coding RNA, 327 nt
Filed under: soil metagenome
Description: partial contains 5.8S ribosomal RNA, internal transcribed spacer 2, and large subunit ribosomal RNA
Rfam family: 5.8S ribosomal RNA (bases 1-120)
Source: RNAcentral